UGGGGAAUAUUGGGCAAUGGGCGCAAGCCUGACCCAGCAACGCCGCGUGAAGGAAGAAGGUUUUCGGAUUGUAAACUUCUGUCCUAAGUGACGAAGGAAGUGACGGUAGCUUAGGAGGAAGCCCCGGCUAACUACGUGCCAGCAGCCGCGGUAAUACGUAGGGGGCGAGCGUUGUCCGGAAUGACUGGGCGUAAAGGGCGUGUAGGCGGCUUUUUAAGUCUGAAGUGAAAGUCCUGCUUUCAAGGUGGGAAUUGCUUUGGAGACUGGAAGGCUUGAGUGCGGAAGAGGUAAGUGGAAUUCCCAGUGUAGCGGUGAAAUGCGUAGAGAUUGGGAGGAACACCAGUGGCGAAGGCGACUUACUGGGCCGUAACUGACGCUGAGGCGCGAAAGCGUGGGGAGCGAACAGG
This 407-nucleotide ribosomal RNA is filed under the name uncultured bacterium. RNAcentral's name for it is "bacterial SSU rRNA". It matches the Rfam family "Bacterial small subunit ribosomal RNA", at positions 355 to 776 of the family's 1533-position model. RNAcentral also lists the same sequence under 1 other name. The record is from RNAcentral.